GGUCCGGGACAAUUGUCUGUCUGGCAGCAGCACAGCUGUACAAGCUGUAGUAUACGAAAAUGCAAUUAUACGAAACACGACCAAGAAGCCGAAACUAGAUAAGUAACGUUUGGAUUUGUUUAAUUUAUUAGGUUAAACUCGAUUAGCAUCGGGUUAAGUGCAGCGUUGCCUUGUUUGGUACUCCCGUCGGCCAUUCCUAUAGUCCACCGUGCAUUUAGUAGCUUUCAGUGUUCCAGAGGCACAUUCUGAUAUCUUUCCUCUAUCAAAAUGUCAUCUCACAAAGGAUUAGGAGCUCUUUUCAUUGCCACAAUACUCCUCACGGCAACAGCAGGUUGGUUAAAAGUCGGUUCCCCACUCAUUGUGUCGCCUCGGAUCGCAUGACUGACUGACUUUACUGCGCAAACCCGGACCUCCAACUGGAAUUUGACAUAGACAUGCUUGACGUGCGUGGAUUUGGCCGUUCCAGUCAUUCGGCACACAGAGAAGGAUCAUGCGUUCGAGCCUAGCCUUGACGCGUCAACCACCCCCGCCUUCCAUCCCCUCGCAUCUGUAUUGCAGUGGCAGCUGCCAAGGAACUUAGCCCCAAGCCCGAAGACAGCAAGAAGCAUGCUGAACGCCUCAAGCACGGCUCAAGCCCGAAGCCGAGCAAGGGUACCAAGCAUGGCCGCUCCCUGUGUAAGCGAGGGGCUUUGUAGCAGCUAGAGGCGCACCUAAAACUGCUUAUGUGUUCACGUUGCGGCCGCAUUUACACAAGCCUGAGCAGGGUGCGCACAUACAUAUAUACAGCAGCACAACCUCAAUGUGUUGUCAGCCUUGUAAUAUGGCAGAACGGUAGGGCACGUACAUCUUACUCUUGUCCCAUGAGGCCAUGGAUUGCUGCGUCAACAUUUGCAUCUGGCGGUUUAGCCACCCGCCGCACAUUGACCUCACGUUUGUGCAUCACUACAACCGCAUUUCCCCUGCCUUGCCCGCCUUCCUUCCUCUCAAAUCUUCUUGCAGUGGAAGCUGCCAGCGCAUUGAGCCCCAAGCCCACAGCCAGCUCCAAGCCUGCCCAUAGCCCUGAGCC
RNAcentral lists this long non-coding RNA (1066 nucleotides) under Volvox carteri. RNAcentral's name for it is "long non-coding RNA (VCAR_LNC003871)". The record is from RNAcentral. Lineage: Eukaryota; Viridiplantae; Chlorophyta; Chlorophyceae; Chlamydomonadales; Volvocaceae.